UUGCUGCAACGUCAAGGUGUUGCGGAUUGUGUAGUCAAGGGCUAUCAAGUGCGAUAAACGGAUCAGGGAUGAAUCAUUUACGUGGCAUUUAGGACAAUUUGUGGAUACGUAAUAUUUGAUCUGAAGCUGUCAACUGAUAACGGUAUGCCAGAACACCGCAACCGUCCGAUGUGACAACUGUCAACGUGCCAAGAGUGCAGUGUCUCACUUCUCAUACCUCAGCGAGGGUGCGAGAUAUACGGGAAUGCGGCAGUGCGAGACAGUGAGUCAAUGUGUAUUAGAUGCGUGGACGGCAUUGAUGCUGGCAGUCAGGCGGCCAACGACGCGUCAAUUACGCACUUGUUGCAUGAGUGUUGCGUGCUAUCUUACAGAGCUGUGAGAGUUCAUGACCCACGUUGGGCGCAUUGCUCCUUGCGGGUCCCGACCUUAUGUUUGUUGCAACAUGCCGACGUUCUACUAGUUUAAAAGCGAUAGACGUUAGGAUUGACAAAUAGACUGCAAAUUAAAACAAGCUCCAAAAUUUCAAAAUCCUUGCAGCAGUGAGCACCGGGGAUUGGCUUGGUAGCUUCCAGGAGGACAACCACGCCUCGCAGUCCACACGCGCCAACCUUGUUCCUUCAUCAUCCAA
This 628-nucleotide long non-coding RNA is filed under the name Volvox carteri. RNAcentral's name for it is "long non-coding RNA (VCAR_LNC000803)". The record is from RNAcentral. Lineage: Eukaryota; Viridiplantae; Chlorophyta; Chlorophyceae; Chlamydomonadales; Volvocaceae.